RNAcentral lists this long non-coding RNA (1528 nucleotides) under Nicotiana benthamiana. RNAcentral describes it as "long non-coding RNA (NBEN_LNC007869)". The record is from RNAcentral. Lineage: Eukaryota; Viridiplantae; Streptophyta; Magnoliopsida; Solanales; Solanaceae.
CCUAGACCCAAAACUGAUUUAAUAUCUUGGAGAAAACAAUUUUGAAGGUAAUGAAAUAAUUUCCCACAAGAUAUGAGCUUAACUAACAAAAAACCAUUUCAAACUAAACUGAAGAAAUCACAAUUGAAUUUAGCAUGAACAGGAGACAUAGAACAUAUUCAUAUAUUCAAGCCUAUCCACCAGGAUCUGUCCAAAUAAAAUAAAAAAAUACAUAUUGUUAUGGAAGAAUAUAAGAAUAAAGUGCACAUGUAUUUAAACUCCUUGAUCAACACACCCUGCCAAACUCUACAUUGAAAUGUAACAACAACUUACACGCAAAUUCAAACACGAAUAAGCACAAUUCAACGUGUAUCACACCGUAUUGAUUUAUUUGCUUCGAAGAUAAAUACCACCAUCAAAACCAAAUACUAAAAGGCGAGCAGUUUCUUUAUAAUAAACAAUGACGGGCACGUUAUACAUAUAUUCAAAGAUCAGCUGCAUUUUGGUUCGAUUUCCAGUUUGAAACUCUUGCAUUCUUAUACAAAGCAACAAUAAGGGCCAAAUUCGAUUCAAGCAGUAAUAGAAAUCGAAACAGGGUAACUAACAUGACUUAUUUAAAUGCAUUUUUCAAGCAUUAAGCAAAUAAGCAAAGAGCAAACAAACACAAUCUUCCAAAAGUCCAUGUAUUCAACAUAGGUUCAUUAAAUUGAACAACUCCAAUAUUCAGCCAUGAAAAGCACCAUCAAAUAAAAUUACACAAUAGCCUUAGAUGCGUACCUAGUCGCCAAUAAUCAAAAGAAAUCAGAAAAUAACUCUCGGGACAGCAUGCCAAAUCGAAACCACGAACCUUGGACGGGAACUCAAAUAGAACCUCAGAUCAGAAUCGAAAUAUAAAGAAUAGUAGCUCUGAUUUUCAAGCUCAAUCGCAAAGUUAGAGAUGAUAGCAAUAACAGAAUAGAACCCAGAUAAAGGUGUUGAUGUUGCAGAUGAACCCCAAACAUACAGAGCAACGAUUUUUGAUUAAUCAAAUCGUGGCAAUUACAUGGACUGAAACAAGGUCAUAGUUACAACCGCAAAUUAACACAGCUUCAAACGAAUCGGCAAAAUCGAACCAGAAUCUCGGAUCGGAACAACAAACCACACCUCGAAUAGAAACUUCGAUUACGCAGCAAUCGCACCCCAAAAUUAAAACCACGAACUGUACGUGUGUGUGUGAAUGAAACUCAAGGUCGCUUGGUUUUUGCAAUUGGUUCUGUUCGUUGGUCAUGGUUGUGGGUUACAGGUGAAGCUACGUUGACGGUACAUGGGUGGUCGAUAGGCGGAGAUGAGGCAUGGAGAAGAUGGCUUACAUUUAUCUGUGUGCCCCGUUCAGCUCAACCCCUCGUGAAAAAGAUGAAAACGAGCUGGGUCUAGUCGACGGGUUGGGGUCGUUUUUGCACUGUAGCGGCUGAUGAAGAAGUAAGGCUGUAUUUUGGAGUUCUGGAACCGGAACGGAACCGCGGUUCUGGCGGUUCCGGCGGUUCCGGUUCCGCGGUUCCGGGCCUAGCGG